UACAGGGGUCUCAAGCGUUGUUCGGAAUUACUGGGCGUAAAGGGUGCGCAGGCCGCGCGGGCAGUCAAAUGUGUAAUUCAGGGGCUCAACCCCUGCACUGCGCUUGAUACUUCCGCGCUCGAGCUUUGGAGAGGAGUCUGGAAUUCUCGGUGUAGCAGUGAAAUGCGUGGAUAUCGAGAAGAACACUUAGGGCGUAGGCAAGACUCUGGACAAAUGCUGACGCUCAUGCACGAAGGCUAGGGUAGCGAACGGG
RNAcentral lists this ribosomal RNA (253 nucleotides) under uncultured bacterium. Its description in RNAcentral is "partial 16S ribosomal RNA". It matches the Rfam family "Bacterial small subunit ribosomal RNA", at positions 524 to 776 of the family's 1533-position model. The record is from RNAcentral.